This 13738-nucleotide long non-coding RNA is filed under the name Cucumis sativus (cucumber). Its description in RNAcentral is "long non-coding RNA (CSAT_LNC001234)". Lineage: Eukaryota; Viridiplantae; Streptophyta; Magnoliopsida; Cucurbitales; Cucurbitaceae. The record is from RNAcentral.
AGAGCAAGAGUCUUACCUGCUCGUACACGCAAAUUAAGGUCUCUAAAGACAAGGAUGUCAGGACGAGUUGGGUAGGAAAAGUCAACAUGUUUUAAUUCAACUUCUCCACGAAGUUUAUCUGGGACUUGGGUGACGUUUGGAUCAUCAGGUUCAAUUUCAGUUUUACGGUCAAGAAGUGCAAAUACGGAACGCAUGGCUCGACCACCCUUGAUAAAGUCAGGAGCUAGAGUGAGUGUUUCGGCUGCACCAUUUGCAGAAACCAUAAGGACCAUGAAAACACGAAUUGCCUUUGAAAAAUCAGAGAGCCCAUGCUUCACAAGCCAUGAGGCAUACCAAAGACCAAGAGCAUAGGAAGCAUAAAGAGAAAACUGAGCAACACCAAACCCACUACCAGCAAUUUGUCCCUUCCAAAAGCAGCGACGUAGUGGGAUUUCGAGGUUGGUUGAAAAAAGUCUGACAAUCUUCUCUUCCGAGUUGAAUGCCGCAACUGUCCUUACAUUGGCUAUUGCCUCCCCUGCUAGCUGUGUGGCCUUGGCAUGGUUGGCCUCAAGGUCUCCUGAGAAACCAGUCAUGAACAUUUUCUGUAGAACAGUGGCAGCAACAACCACGGGGAAGACAGCUACAAGGACAAGAGACAGGCGCCACUGCAAAACAAACCCAGCGGUGCAAGCAACUAGCAUGAGUGAUGUGUUCUGUACAAUCACUGAAAUCCUGUCUCCAAUGGCUGAUCUGACGUUGUUAGCAUCCAAGGCCAGCCUUGCAGCAAUCUUUGCACUCUCAUUUUCUUCCUGAUCAAACCAUGCCAUUUCAUUUUUCAGUAUUGCUGUCAGCAUCUUCUCUCUUACACGUUUGGUGAGGUUCUCUCCUACAAUAUCCCAGAAGAAAUGCUGUAUUGUAUUGAAGAGAAGAGCAGCCGACGAAAGUCCGAUUAACAAGUAGCAGUACUUAAUAAUUUCUCUGCUCAUGAAAGCAUGGUCUGGGUUGUAAUAGACACUGAGAACAGCACUUAGAACGUAUGCAAAGAAGGCGCUUAAAAACCCACAAACAACAGAGCCUAUAGAACCAAGUAGUGCACAAAGCCAUUCGGGUGAAUUCAUUUUCACGAGACGCCAAAAGGAACUGGCUUGCUCCUUAAAGGCCAGUUUUUCAAGCCUGUAAUUGGGAAGUGAAGCAUCGAGAGAAAGACUAAAAUCAGAUGUGGAGAAGUCAGAUAAUCGACGUGAAUAUGGUGAUCGACCAUAGGAAGAAUUCCGUGCAAUGAUUGGGGAGCUCACUGAGUUCCUGGCACUUGAAGGCCUGAAAUCAUAGUUCAUGUUAGUCAGUUAAGUUAGUGAAAGAAAAUUAAAAAUGAAAAAGAAUACAUUUUUUUAGCUACCUUGCACUACUUUUUCUGGCAUUAUUGAGAGCAGUUUCAUGUGCCAUCUCCUGCAUCCGGAUAAGCUUGGCAUAUACACCAUUUUCUCCUUUAGCAAAUAGCUCAUCAUGCGUUCCCAUUUCAGAAACACUUCCUUGUUGGAGUACAGCCACAAGGUCAGCCUUCCGAAUGGUAGAGAGUCGAUGGGCAAUGACAAGAGUGGUCCGCCCUAUCAUAAAACGAUCAAGAGCUUCUUGUACAAGCUUUUCUGACUCAGAGUCCAAUGCACUAGUAGCUUCAUCUAAGAGUAGGAUUGCAGGGUUUUUAAGCAUUGCCCUUGCUAUUGCGAUCCUCUGCUUCUGCCCUCCAGAAAGCUGCAGUCCUCUUUCACCUACCUACAAAAAGUUUACGUUUUACUUAAAACCUCACAAUUCAUAUUCAUAAUGAUUCAUUAUCAUAUCAAAACUAGAUUAGGAUUUCGAAGUCCUAUUAUCUAAGACGAGCAAGAACAAAGUGGUCUUUCUUUCUACUCGGGAUUCAUAAUCAUUGCAGUCAUUCUAUCAAAAGGUGAGCAAUUAGUAAUUUUUGAGCUAUUUUUUAUAAUGUGAAGCAAAGAGAUAUAGAAUCAUGUCAAGAACUUGUGGAAGCCUCGGAUAACAAAUAAUCAAUAAGUUUAAAAUUGAUGAUGUUCUCUUUGUUAUCUCGAAGUUCCAAAUUUGAUUUAAAUAGUUCUGUCUUCUUUGAGAAUUUUAUUAAAAUACACAAGUCAAGUUUUUUGGCUCGAGAAAUAAUUAACCCCGUUGAUUCCUGCUCUUUCUAUAUUAUCUUCAAAACCUAUCAUCUUCGUGUCAUCAUUUUUUCUACUUUAGCAUGCAAAUGUCAAUAGCAUCUUUUUUCUUAUAAUGUUGAAAAUUAAUAGUUGAAACACAAUAUAUAAAUAUGUAAAUAAUUUUAUAUUCUUUGAACAUAGAUGUCAGCAUUGACGAUUUUCUAUUCAAUCUCCAUAACCAUAUGCUUGAUAUGUCCCUCUCUUUAGUUUAUUUGGUUUUGAUUUGUUACAGCAGACAAGCUAAAAACCUAUUUAUUUCUGCACAUGCAUUGUUGACCAAGGCAUGUUAUCCUGUUUCCAUUGUCUGUAGUACCAAAACAUUUCUUCUCAGUUGCACAUAAAAGAGAGGGGGAAAAGUCGGUUUAACCUUGUUAAAGGCAAUAAAAUAUUCCAUUUUCAUAUUCAAAAUCGGGGAAGCAAAUGGUUCAUUAUAAGGUAUAAGAAAGAGCAUAUGUAAAUCAUCACAUACGUAUUUUUGUUAGAUCAAUGUAAAAGAAAAGCUUUUACCCGUCAGAAAAAUUAGAACAGGUUUCUUUUGCUCCAAACAUUAAGACGUUGCUUUAGGCCUUCAAAAACUAAUAUUAGAGGAUAACCACCUAACACUAUAAACAACCAUAUUUUAAUGUUGAUAUUUUGCUUUACCUUUCAACUUUCAAGCCGUUGGAAGAUGCUUAAGAGUAUCAUAUUUUAACACAUUCGUUUUAAGAUGAUAUCUAACCUGAGUGUCAUAGCCUUCAGGAAGUUUGAUAAUGAAUGAAUGAGCAUUGGCGACUCGAGCUGCUUCCUCUACCUCAAGUUGAUCUGCUUCAGGUCUGCCUAAGAGAAUAUUCUCUUUGAUGGUGGUAGCAAAAAGAGCAGGUUCUUGGCUCACCAAUCCUAUCUGCUGUCUUAACCAUCUAAGCUUCAAAGUUUUUAUGUCACGUCCGUCUAGUAGAACUUCACCUGCACAUUCAGUCAAGAAAGAACUUCUCUUGUAAACUAAACCAAAUCCAAAAACUUAAAUUUCAAGAAUAAGACUGAAAAGUGAAAACCAAAACCAAAAGCAAUGUAUUAAUUACUUAAAAAGUUGACACAGAUCAGGGGAGUUAUACCUGAAAUGGGGUCAUAGAAUCUUUCAAUUAGGGCAACAACCGUGCUCUUUCCGGAGCCGCUGCUUCCGACCAGAGCUAUAGUUUUUCCAGCAGGGACAGCUAGGGAGAAAUUAUUGAGGAUUCUUACAUCUGGCCUGGAUGGGUAUGUGAAAUCAACAUUCUUCAGCUCAACCAGUCCUGAAACAGAUUCUAAUUCCAAACCAGAUUCAUUGUUGCGGUUUAGAGUGGGCUUAUGGUCAAUUAUACGGUAGAUUUUGGCAGCUGCAACUUUAGCCUUAGCGAAUGAACUCAUGCUGGGAGCAGAUUGCCCCAGUGCCCUGUCAAGCAAAAGCGAUCCAUCAGCCAAAAAAUUGGAGGCUUGAAGGUGAAAUUCGGAGAUGAUAGUGGCUACUUACAGUCCACCAAUCAUCACUGCAAACAUAGUGGCUAUGGCCAGUCCACCAUUGGUGGCGUGGUGUCUGACAAGAUAACCUCCGUACCAGAGCAGAAGGGCGUAACAGCAGAAAACGACGAAGUAAGUAGCGCCCAAUCCGAUACCCUUGGAGAAUCCACUCUUGUAACCUAUCUUCUGAGAAAUCUUCAAUGCGGCGGAGUAUCUCUGUAAUGCUCUUGAUUCGCCCACGAAUGCAAAAACAACUCGAAUUUGAACUAUUGUCUGCAUGUUACGUCAAGAAUUGACAGUACCCAGAUGAGAGAAGGUGCCAAAAUCUUUAGAAGAUCAAGUUUUGGAAGGAAUUCCUCUUACCUGUUCGACGAUAUUCCCGGCUUCUGAAAGAGCGUCCUGGGUCUUGGCAGAGAGCUUGGCUAUUGUGGUGGUGUAGAUGCCGCCGAUUACGGCAAUCAAAGGAACCACCGCAAGAGUCACCAACGCCAAUUGCCACACAGCAGUGAAACCCACAACGAACCCGGACACGAAAGUUGCCAUAUAGUGGAUGAAGUUGCCCAGCUGCAAAAUCCAUACACAGUUACUCCAUUAGGCGUGUACAAGGGGAUUUCGAAAUAGAGAGAUUACUGAAAAUAGAGGUUGUUUCUUCUUGUUUUUUUUUUUUUUUUUUGCUUCGCACCUUCUCACUAAUGGCGUCUUGGACCAUCACUGCAUCAGUGUUGAUGGCGAAAACGACGUCAGAUGUUCGCACCUCUGUAUCAAAAUACUGAAUGUCCUGGUCCAGUGCCGCUUCUAGGUACUUGAUCCUCAUCUUUGUGGACUGCCGCUCGCCGGUCCACAUCCAACACGAAAUCUCUGCAACCGUUUUCAGUUAAAUUGACAUAUGAAUGUAAAGAUAAACCCAGAAGAAGCCUAACGGAACUCUAAGUACCUGCCCAAGAUGAAGCCCAUAUCGCAGCUCCAACCACGAGAAAGUAGAAUGCGUACUGAAAAUAGAAAGGUUUCAGUUUUUUAAUUAGAGAUUAUGAUCAAUCAACAUAAGCACUACGAUUGUGUUCAUGAGUUAUAGUUUCUACUUUACCUUCAAAACCUCCUGCAUCAUUUUAUCCACAUCAUUGGCGUAAGACCCAAAAGAGUUAACAAGAUCAGCAAAGAAACGAAGAAACAGAGGCAAAGAACAACCGUGGACAAGAGCUCCGACGGACCCAAUUGCCAUCAAAACGUAAUCCAACCCAUCAGCGAAUCUGAAAAGCUCCCCAAAUCCAAUGGCGGUAACAGCCUCAGGCUUCUCCCCACUAGUGCCACCGCCGUUUUCCUUCUUGGAAACAGUGGUAGACUCCAUUUCUCUGUUUUUAGCUCUGCCAACUCCGUCUUGAGGCUCUUGUGUGGGUCUGAGGUCUUCAGGGUCAGUGUUUUCCGCUGUAGGGUUGUUGGUGAUAGAUGGGUCAGAAGGAGGAAGAGGAUGAGAAGAGAGGAGCUCAAGGCCUUGCAUUUCGGACCAUUUCCACUGCUCAGUCGUCUUUAUCUCUUCUGAAUAUUGUGACAUUGGCGAAAUUCCUCGCUUUGUGAACAAUUUCCCCCCUUUCUUUACCUUAUAGUUUUCUUUUAUUUUUUUUCUUUAUUUUUGCUCACUGUACCCGCCUUGGUUUGAGCUCAGAGCUCAUAUUUUUGCCGCUAACUUUUUUCAAUCCACACACUGCUUUGGCUACUGCUACAGUCUUGUGAGAAUUUUUUUUUCUCUCUUUUUACUCUCUCAUCAGUUGUGUUGGGAUGUUCUCUUUCUUCUUCAUCAUCUUAUUCUUAUUUGAAUGCAAGUGUGAAAGACGGACAAAUACUGGGCUGCUUCUUUUUUUACAGUCAGAUUGCUUUUCCAAUUGUUCCCAACUUUGCUUCUUCUGUAAAAAAACAUAGAAAGUGACAUAUGUUAGAGAGAGUCCCGGAGUGAGAAAAAGAGAAGGAUUUUCCAUCCGACAAGUCACACUGUUUCAAAAACUGAGAUGGUUUUUUUUAUAAAAAAAAGAUUUUUUUUUUACUAGAACAUAUUCAAAGUAGGGGGGAAAAUACCCUUCUUUCUUUCCUUCAACUCAGAACUAAAAACAAUUAAAAUAUCUCUUUCCUCUUUAAUCCCAAUAAGAAAAAUAAUUGCUCCAGUCAUCGUCAAAAGAAAACCUUAUAAUUGUUUUUAUUUUGUAUUUUACUAUAUAAUGUUCUGGAUGAUCUCGAUAUUAGAUUUAUCAUUUGUUUCCAGGCUUAAUCAUAUCGUCAGUGAAACUUGGAAAAGUCCAUAUGAACAGCCCACAAAAGAGAGGUAAACUUCUAUUUCAAAACUUGGCAAAACUAUUAUGGAAGUUAGAAAAGGGGAGGGAAAGAACCCUUUUUUGGGGUGAUGAUGAAAUUUAAAUAGAAUGGAAAAUGUGAUUUUAACGGUUAUAAAUGGAUUAAAGGUAUAACAAUCCAGUCAGUUAAAGAAAAAUAACUUUUUUAAAAGUAUGCAAUGAAAAGAAAGGUUUUUAGCUUCUGGUUUCUUGUGCACUACUCUGUUUUGCAACUGAAAUUAAAUAUAUUUUUGAAUGGUUACAUAUUUUAUUUUUAUCUCUAAAAUCUACUGUUAUCCUUGUUGGUAUUGCAAUUUUUAAAAUAAAUUAUUUGUAAUUUAAUAGCUGUUUAAUAUUUUAUUUUUCUUCAUUUAUUUCACUCAAGUAUCUUUGUGAGUUUAGGAUCACUAGUUUCAAGAAAAAAAAAGUGUUUAGAAUCACAUGUAAGCUGGUGUCUAAGUUUUGAAUUAUGUAAUUCAAUUCAGACAUUUAAUAGAGUAUUUAAAAAUUAAAAUCCUAAAAAAUAUUUUAAAAAAUCAACAAUGAAAACAUUUUUUAAAAAAUUUCAUUUUGUAUUUGAAGAAUAUGGACCUGUUUUUUCUUUAAAAAAACAUAUGAACAAUGAUUACAUGUCAAUCAAUUAGCUAUAUAACCUUUUAAUUUUAGUUAAAUCUCAUUUUAGUUUUCAACUUUUAAGAUUAUUUUAUUUUAAAAUAUAGUAUAUAUUUUAUAUUAAUUUUUUUAAAAAAAAAUUCUACCUAAUAGUCUCUAUAUUUUAAAAGUUAUCUUCAAACUUUUAAUUGCUCUAUUAGCUAUAAAAUUAUAAAAUUACAAUUUGUCUAGUAAAACUAUAAUUUGUAAUUUAAAAAGUUGAAUGAAUAAACACAAACAACGUUAACUUCAUGAACUAAUUUAAACCAUCAUUUUUCUAGAAAAUCACAGUAUAUUAAAAAAAAAUGGAAUGAAACCAGGACACUGUGUGAAAAUUUAAAAUUUAGGAUUGUUUUGGAUAAAAGAAAAUGUGAAGAGAAGGUAUGAAAUGUUGAAAAAAAAUUGUGACCUUACAUUACCUUACCUUACCCAACACUGUUUGUCUCCUUCAAAUAAGGGGAACUUUGGCACACACAGUCAAUAAAUUGAAUGAAUUCUUUAAUAUUAUUAGUAGUUUACUCUAUAUACAAAAGUCUGAUUAAAUUAAUGGAAAGUCCUCCAUAAAAUAUGGUAAAAUAAUAAGAAUAAAAAGCACAACCAUUGCAUUAUUUGAAUAUUUAUAUUUUUGCAGGUUUGAAGGUUGACCGCAGAGAAACCAAACAAAUAGUUUGAAAACCUGAUAGCGUAUACACAUUGACUCUAUUUCUUUUGUCAGAACAACAACAACUACAAAGAAAAAAAAAGGUUCUUUUCUUACUCUCUAUGCCUUUCUUUGAUGUCUCAUUAUUGAAGUAAUGUCUUAGGAAAGAAGAAGCUCUCAUUAAUGAAAACUGAAACACAUACAAAACUGGAAAAAAUAAAAAGAAAGUCUUGAAUUGUCAUUAAGUUUUGGGUGCUGGGUCUAUACACAUUACACACACUUUUAUUUUGCAUUUAUUUAAGAGUAAAUAAACAUUAUGUUUUAUUAAUUAAUUGAUGCUAGUACAAAAAUUAGGAGGUGGGAGCUAGAGUUGGUAUCUUGGAUGGAGAACUUUAAUGUGCAUUUUUUGUAAGUUGUCAAAGUGUGUAGUUACAGACCAGCUUGCAUUUCUUUUUUCAUAUCCCAUCUGAGGCUUUGAAAUUUACAAUACAACAUUUUCAAAUUUAUGAUCGGUACAUGUGAAUGGAAGUGGAAAAAAAUCAAUGAAGUGGAAGGAAAGGUUUCUAUCCAAUAUGGGUCGUUUUUGUCAUUUGUGUUGGGAAUUAUCCUGAAUUAUAAUAACCAUAUCUUACCACUGUAAAUAUUAUUUAAAAGUAUCUAAUUAACUGAUGCAAACAUUAUUUCAAAAUCUCAUAUUUGCUAAAGUAUUUAUUACUUACUAGAGUUUUUAUUAUUUUACUUUCAUUAUCUUUUAAUAUUUUUGUUAUAGUGUUUACUAUUUUCUCUAACUAAAAUAAUUUGCAAUUCAAAUACAUACGUCUAUAACUUAUUGUUAUAAUAACAUUCUCUUAUCCCAAAGGUUCCAAUGUAUUUGACCAAAGUGUAAAGACAUACCCUUCAUUUGUUUUAGUUGUAAAUACCAUCCUUUAUUUUGUACAAACAUCUCAAACUAUGAUUUUGGUAAAUAUUAUUUACAAAAUUGGCAAAAAAAAAAAAAAAAAAAAAACCUUGAGGUCCCAUCUAUUUGUUUUUUAAAAGAAACUUAAGUCAAAAUUAUUUGCACUUUUGUUCGAUACAUGAGUUAAAUUCUUGGUUAAAUUCAACGAACAAAACACAAAAUUUUAAAAUUAUAUAGUUUUUUAGUUUUCAAAAUCUAACUUAGUAUUUUUAAAAGUAUUGGUGAAAGUAAAUAACAAAACUAUAAAUGUUGAUGUGAAAUGAGUGUUUAUAAGUUUAAUUUUAAAAAAUCAAACAAGAUCUAAACAAUGGUAAUCCAAAUGAUUUUUUUAUUAUUUAGCCUCAAGUAUUUUUUUUUUUUUUAAGAAAAGUAGGAACAUAAAAUGGAUUGAUAUUGAUAUUGAUUUGUGAGUCAGUUUGAUUGAACAGACAAAAAUAGUUUAGUACAGUUUGAAUUGCAUUCAUCUUUUUAAACUCUAUUUAAUGGUUGGGUAAUAACUCAUUAUGGUAAAAUUUUGUGUUGUGUUGUAUAGUUAGAGUAAAAGGUAAAAACAGAAGCGAUGCCCAGUUUAAGAUAACCCCAAGAACUAUUCGUAAAAUAAAGGAAUAGACGUGGUCCUACUACUCUAACACUAUUCAUCCACUACCAUUGUUUAUAUUUUAUACAAAAUCUGAAAUGAUGAGAAUUUUGAAAACAGAGUUUGUGAAAAGAGAAAAAAAAGGGUUUAUUAUAAUACCGAAAUCUGGGGUUUUGAGGGCAAAGUGGGUGGAAUUUAUGAAACUAAACAGCCUUUUUCCAUCCCAAAUAGGGGGAGGGAGAUCCAAGGCAUGUGGGUUUAUCAUAAUCAUAUUCCAAACAACAACCUUUCAAAUAUAUAUAUACCACCAAAAAUAAGAAAUAAAAAAGUUAAAGUGAGGAGAGAGUGUCAGAAAAUCUGAAAAUAAAAAACUUAAAAAGAAAGAAAAAUAAUAAAAUGACAGCAAAUUGUUGGAUUUGUUUAAAAUGUUAAAAUCUUAUCAUAUAAUUAUAAAAAUUAAGUUCCCAGGCUUAUACAGUUAUGUAAAUUUAAGAGUAAUUUUUAAUUUUAAAAGCUUAAAGGUAUUAAACAAGGAUGUUUAAGAAAAGGUAAAGAAUAUGAAUGAAGAAAAAGGAAAAAAAAUGAAAGUGGAAGAGAAGGGAAUCAGAGUUGUACGAAUGUUGAUGCCAUACCUGAAAUCACUCACUAACUUUUUUUUUUUUGUUUUUAAGUAUAAAUAACAGUCUAAUCAGCUGUCCUUUUUUCACAUUUUGUAGUUUUUAUAUACUUUUCUGUAAAACUUCACAAUUGAAUCCAUACUCCAUCAUUCUCAUAUAUAUAUAUAUAACACUCUAGUACAUAUAUAUAUUUUCCUGUUUUUAAGACUGGUGUAAGCUUUUUCAAUCUAAUUAUUUAUUGUUUGUAUCGUUUCAGCGAAUUUGAAUAGUAAUUACAACCAAUUAAUGAUAUGUAGUUUUUUAAAAAACAAUAUAUAAUUAAACUGCAUGUAGGUGAAAAAUUCACAGUAUAUUUGGAGUCUUAUAGUUACUCAUAUUUUAUAUUUAUAUAUGUAUUUAAGAGUGAUUCAUAAAUUACACUUCAAUAAUAUUUUUAUAAAUCGUUAGAAUUAAUUGUGAUUAGUUGCUAUAAAAUCAACGUACAUGGAAUAUAAAUUAUUACUAAUUAAUUUAUGAUUUUCUUUUUAUGUUCUGGAUUUUCACAUAAUUAUUAUGGUGUACCAAUUUUUUUUUUUUUUACAAUUCCUUGUAUAUUUAUUUUCUUAAAAGAAGAUCGAGUUUAUAUAUAACACACUGGAAUCAUAAAAAUAUUUUUGCUGAAUUUGUACUCUUUGUGUUUGACCACAAAAAUCCAAAAACAGUUCUUUGACAUAGAAUCUAAACUUCCAAUUAUGAAUUUAAGGGGAACAAAAAAUUCUUUUAGUCCCUAGAUUAGAUUUUUUUUAGUGUAGUUUCUAAUUUCAAUUUGUCAUACGUUCCUAAAUUUUUAAGUUUAUGUUUGGUUUCAGUUUACUCACUAAAAUUCAAAAAGGCCUUAAUUUUAUUAUUUCAUUUCAAUUUUUCAAAUUUUGUUGAGUACCCAAAUUCAAACAUACAUAUCAUUACUUAUUAAUCAAUUUAAAGUAAGUAUAAAGUAAAAGAGUGAAAUAUAAUUAAUUACAAGUGGUUAAAUUAUUUAAAUUUAUUAACCUACAUAAAAUCUUUAAGACAAGAACAAUAUAUUAAGUGAAAUAUUGAUAUUCAACUCAAAACUUUGAAGACAAAAACAUGUACUUUUUGGUUUAUAAAUAUAAAAAUAUAAAAAUAUAAAAAUAUAAAAAUAUAAAAAUAUAAAAGAAAGUAAAAUUGACUAUUAAACACUUUUGUUGUGUUUUGUUUAUAUAUAUAAAUUUAGAAAAAGAGGGUGAGGGAAAGUUGAUGGGAAUAUGUAUGUGUGUGGUGUGACGGUUGGCGUAUUUGGGUCAGUUUGCUGCCCUGCCCACGCCCUCCUGUCCAAUCCCUCCCUUCUUUUCAUUUUUCUUUCUUUUCCACUUAUUACUUCAUAUCAUAUCAUAUAUAUAUAUAUAUUCUCUGUCUUCUUUCUUUUUUUCUUUUUACCUACAGCCAUUUCAAUUCUGUGGUUAGAUUUUUGUACAUUUGUGUUUUAAUCUUCCUUUCCAUGAUUUCCAACGGUUUUUUCAAAUCGUUUCAUUUUUCUCGUUGAUUUCGUAUUCAUUAACUUAUGGUUUGGUUAAUUAGAUUUUGUUUGGAAGAUAAUUUAAGAGGUUGGAGUGGUCUUGGUUUGGACUGUGUGAGUUUAUGAAUGGUCUUGCAAUUAUUGGUGGUCUUCCCAUUAUUGGUGUGUUAACAGUCUAGCUAUGCUUGAGGGUUUGAAAGCGAUGAUCAUAAGUGAAGUUGCUUUGGAUCAUCCCUUUGCUUUGAGAUUUAGAUUUAGUCUAUUUACUACAAGCCAUCAAUUUUCAUCAAUUUUCUCAAUAGGAAGGAGGCUUCUAAUCAUGAAUUAGGGAUGUUUUCUUUAGUACAUUUUGUUUGUAGGAGCUUUCAUUAAUGUUUUCUUUUUUUGUCACAUUUCCAAAGGAUGAAAACAAAUUGUUCAUGCUACUGCAACUUUAAUAUUAUCUCUUAGUUAUUCAUCGAUCUUAAAAUAUAAACUCUUUCAUUCUUCAUGAAGUGCCUCGAGAAUGUUAGAUUGAGUUGUUUUUUUUGCCCCAAGAUAAUUAAAUAUUUAAAAAAUACAUGAACUAAAAUGGAACAGCAUAAACUUGUAUGUUCUACAUUGAUAGGGUUAGAACGAGUUGUUCUUUUUAGGGUUUUUCCUUAAAAAGAAUAAGACACUUCAAAAUACAUGAACAAAAAUAAAAAGAUCAUGCAUGUAACGUUUUAGAAGGAAAAAGAAAGUAUUUUUCCCACGUAACCGAAGAAUAUUAUUGAAAAUUAUUACAAAGAGUAUUAUUAUUAUUAUUUUUUUAUAUAGUAAUAUAAUAAUUUUUUUUAAUUUAAAAAUAAAAAACAAAAGAAUACUCAUUGUUAUGUAAAUGUAAAUGUAAAUGGAAAAUUGAUAGUAGAAUCUAGUAGAACCCAAUGGCUUAUUAUUACCUUAUAAAGCUUUCAUUUAUAAACAAUCCUUAAAUACCAUAAGGCCCCACUAUAUUUGUCAAUACUACUAAUUUGACUUGUAAUUAAUGGAAACAACAGUGAAAAAUUUUCGAAUUGGAUGAAGUUCAUAUGCCUUUAAUGAAUCAUAAAACAUCAAUUAAUGUUUAUGGUUUCAUCUCCAUCUAUUUCUUAAACUAGUAAACAAACAAAAUUCAUUACCAAAUUCUCAUUAGGAUUUGAAAAAUAAUACUUUAAUCCUUUAGUACAAAAGAUGUAGGAUUGCAAAAUUAUUAUUUUUUUACUUCAAGAUAUAUAUUUUAAAUAAUUAGUUCUUCUAUUCGUGUCUGAAAAAUCAUGUUGGAUUAAAUUUCAACUUUUAAUUUCAUCAAAUUAGUUCAUAUGUUAAGUUAAAUAUUGCAAUGUAUACUAUAUUUUUUAAUUUGUCCACUAAUUUUAACAUUAAAAAAAAAGUAUUUAAAUUCCGUAAUUUCAUAUAUUGAUGUUUUGACAAAUUUAGAUUUCAAUAAAAUGCCAAAACUCACAAAUCACAAUACAUUAUAUGUGAGUAUUUUUAAAAAAGAUUUUUCAAACAAAAGCUCAUCAAAAGGUAAAAUAUAAAAAUCUCCAAUGAUCUAAACGUAUAGUACAAAUUGAGAAAAUUAUAAGGAUAAAAAGUAAAAUUUGAUAUAUUUAAGACUAAUUUUUUUCUCUCUAAAAAAAAAAAAAACAAAAAGAGAGAAGAAGGUGAAGACAAUACACUUAAUAUACUUCAUGGAUAGAAAAUGCACAAAACCCAAAAGAAUUAAUAAAGGGUAUAAGGGCUUUUGUGUGUUUUUUUUUUUUUUCUUCUUUUUUUCUUUUAUAACUACAAAGGUUCCAUUUCCUAACUAUCUCUCACCUCAUCCUCUCUAGUUCUAGCUGAGGAAGUUGAACCAGAUGUCAUACCAAUGACUUGGCUGUGUGUGAAUCUUUGUAAUUGAAUCAUCCUGGCAUAACACCCAUCAGGGUAAUUUUUCAACAAAUGUGAGUGUGAUCCCUGUUCUGAAACUUUGCCAUCAUCAAUUACUGCAAUGACAUGAGCAUUCCGGAUAGUUGAUAGUCGAUGGGCAACUACGAUUGUUGUUUUUCCUGAACAAGCUCGGUCGAGCGCCUCCUGAACUGAUCGCUCUGACUCAGCAUCGAGUGCACUUGUUGCCUCGUCUAAUAGCAUAAGCUCUGCCUUCCUGAUCAAUGCACGGGCAAUUGCAAUUCUUUGUUUCUGUCCACCUGAUAGUUGAACUCCUCUCUCUCCAACGAAGGUUUUAUAUCCUUCUGGCAACCCAGAUAUGAACUUAUGGGCAUUUGCCAAAGUAGCGGCUUCAAUGAUCUCGGUUUCAGUUGCCGAUUCAUGGCCAUAAGCUAUAUUAUCAUAUAUGGAAGCAGCAAACAAGCAUGGCUCUUGAGGGACCAUUGCAAUGUGCUUUCUCAGGGACUUGAGAUUGAACUUGCGAAUAUCCUUUCCAUCAAUCAUAACUCGUCCUGAUGUCGGCUCAUAGAAUCUUUGGACUAGGGCAAUAACAGAGCUCUUGCCACACCCGCUAGGGCCAACAAGAGCAAGAGUCUUACCUGCUCGGGCACGCAAAUUAAGGUCUUUAAAGACAGGGAUAUCAGGACGGGUUGGGUAGGAAAAGUCAACAUGUUUUAAUUCAACUUCUCCACGAAGUUUAUCUGGUACUGGGGUGGCGUCCGGUUCAUCAGGUUCAAUUUCAGUUUUACGGUCAAGAAGUGCAAAUACGGAACGCAUGGCUCGACCACCCUUGAUAAAGUCAGGAGCUAGAGUGAGUGUUUCGGCUGCACCAUUUGCAGAAACCAUAAGGACCAUGAAAACACGAAUUGCCUUCGAAAA